RNA transcript from Microcebus murinus (gray mouse lemur), 5964 nucleotides. It is a transcript of the gene named YLP motif containing 1, with no coding region annotated. The record is from RefSeq and is a predicted model, not a curated record. NCBI's taxonomy places the organism in Eukaryota, Metazoa, Chordata, Mammalia, Primates, Cheirogaleidae.
CUAUGAGAACAUUCUACUCGCGCCUACAUUAUCCGAACCCCCAGGAAGAUGGCAACGUCGAGUCGCCAAGCCAAAGGCCGCUCUAUCUCGCCUUUGUUCUCCUCUCGGUGGCUACUGCGCAGGCGCAAUAACCCAAGUCCCGUCCCCGCCUUCCCUGUCGCGGGCCCAGCUCUGUAGCGCCGGCGCACUGGCGCGCUCCGUUUAUACGCUCUGGGGCCUGUAGGCGCCGCGAGUUCCGGCUGUCGCCGUCGCCGUCGCGGCUCUUGGAGGUCGGUUGCGACGAGUAACGGCGCCAGGACAAGCCCUGCGCCUUCUUCUCGGAUAUGUACCCGAAUUGGGGCCGGUAUGGCGGGAGCAGCCACUACCCGCCGCCGCCGGUCCCUCCGCCGCCGCCGGUGGCGCUUCCUGAGGCCUCGCCGGGGCCCGGGUACUCGAGCUCGACGACUCCCGCGGCCCCCUCUUCCUCGGGCUUCAUGAGCUUCCGCGAGCAGCACUUGGCGCAGCUCCAGCAGCUGCAGCAAAUGCACCAGAAGCAAAUGCAGUGCGUGCUCCAGCCCCACCACCUUCCUCCGCCCCCCUUGCCACCCCCGCCGGUGAUGCCGGGGGGCGGCUACGGAGACUGGCAACCGCCGCCGCCACCGAUGCCCCCACCACCUGGGCCGGUCCUCAGCUAUCAGAAGCAGCAGCAGUACAAACACCAGAUGCUCCACCACCAACGAGACGGGCCUCCUGGUUUGGUUCCAAUGGAGUUGGAUUCUCCCCCUGAAUCUCCCCCUGUACCGCCCGGGUCUUAUAUGCCCCCAUCUCAAUCUUACAUGCCCCCCCCUCAGCCGCCACCCUCGUACUACCCCCCUUCCUCAUCUCAGCCCUACCUGCCUCCUGCUCAGCCAUCCCCUUCACAGUCCCCACCUUCCCAGUCUUACCUGGCGCCCACGCCUUCUUAUUCUUCCUCCUCUUCUUCACAAUCCUAUAUGAGCCAUUCCCAGCCCUACUUGCCCUCUUCUCAGGCAUCUCCUUCGCGCCCCUCCCAGGGCCAUUCUAAAUCUCAACUAUUAGCUCCUCCACCACCGUCAGCCACCUCUGGGAAUAAAACAACUGUCCAGCAAGAGCCUUUGGAAAGUGGGACCAAGAACAGGAGUGCUGAACAGCAGCAAGCCACCCCUGAGCCAGAUCCCUCUAUGAUGACUCCACAGGAACAGCAGCAGUAUUGGUAUCGACAGCACUUGCUUAGUUUGCAGCAGAGGACAAAAGUGCACUUGCCAGGACACAAAAAGGGUCCUGUCAUAGCAAAGGAUGCCCCAGAGCCAGUAAAAGAAGAAGUUACGGUACCUGCCACCAGUCAAAUUUCAGAACCCCCUUCAUCUGAGGAGCCCCCAUUACCACCUCCAAAUGAGGAGGUACCACCUCCUCUCCCACCUGAGGAACCCCAGUCUGAGGACCCAGAAGAAGAUGCCAGGUUAAAACAGUUGCAGGCUGCAGCAGCACACUGGCAGCAGCACCAGCAACAUCGAGUUGGUUUCCAGUAUCAGGGAAUAAUGCAGAAGCACACUCAGUUACAGCAGAUCCUACAGCAGUACCAGCAGAUUAUACAGCACCCACCACAUAUCCAGACCAUGUCUGUAGAUAUGCAGCUGCGGCAUUAUGAGAUGCAGCAGCAACAGUUUCAACAUCUUUACCAAGAAUGGGAGCGAGAGUUUCAGCUGUGGGAGGAACAGCUCCAUUCCUAUCCUCAUAAAGAUCAGCUUCAGGAAUAUGAGAAGCAGUGGAAAACAUGGCAGGGACAUAUGAAAGCCACUCAGACUUAUCUCCAGGAGAAAGUCAGUUCAUUCCAGAACAUGAAGAACCAGUAUAUGGGAAACAUGUCAAUGCCACCUCCUUUUGUUCCAUAUUCUCAGAUGCCUCCACCUCUACCAACAAUGCCCCCUCCAGUAUUGCCUCCAUCAUUGCCACCACCAGUGAUGCCCCCUGCCCUCCCUGCUACAGUGCCACCACCUGGCAUGCCCCCACCUGUGAUGCCACCUUCUCUACCCACCUCUGUACCCCCACCAGGGAUGCCUCCAUCUCUUUCUUCAACAGGGCCACCACCAGUUCUUCCCCCACCUUCCCUUUCUUCUGCAGGGCCACCUCCAGUUCUUCCCCCACCAUCUCUCUCUUCAACAGCACCUCCACCUGUCUUGCCCCUUCCACCACUAUCUUCAGCCACACCUCCUCCAGGAAUACCUCCUCCUGGAGUUCCACAAGGGAUACCUCCUCCGUUAACAGCAGCCCCAGUUCCACCAGCUUCCGGUUCUCAGAGCUCACAAGUCCCAGAGAAACCUAGACCAGCACUGCUUCCCACUCCUGUGUCUUUUGGUCCUGCCCCACCCUCAACUUACCAUCCUCCAUUGCAAUCAGCUGUUGGUCCAUCAGAACAAGUGACUUCUAAAACUCCUCUGAGCAAGUCUACUCUGCCAUACGGUUCAUUCUCAUCUGAGCAAGGACUUGGGGAAUCUUCAGCUGCUCCAUCUCAACCAAUCACUGCAGUUAAGGACAUGCCAGUGAGGUCAGGUGGCCUGCUUCCAGAUCCUCCUAGAAGCAGUUACUUGGAAGGUCCAAGAGGCCCAAGAUUUGAUGGUCCUCGAAGAUUUGAGGAUUUAGGGUCAAGGUGUGAAGGACCGAGACCCAAAGGGCCUCGUUUUGAAGGAAAUCGCCCCGAUGGGCCAAGACCCAGAUAUGAAGGUCACCCAGCAGAGGGCACUAAAAGCAAAUGGGGAAUGAUUCCCCGGGGGCCAGCAUCUCAAUUUUAUAUUACCCCCAAUACAUCCCUAAGUCCUCGGCAGAGUGGACCACAGUGGAAAGGCCCCAAACCAACUUUUGGACAGCAGCAUCAGCAGCAACCUAAGUCACAAGCAGAACCUCUUUCAGGAAACAAAGAACCGUUAGCAGACACCAGUAGUAACCAGCAGAAGAAUUUUAAAAUGCAAUCAGCUGCAUUUUCCAUUGCUGCAGAUGUAAAGGAUGUCAAGGCGGCUCAAUCAAAUGAGAAUCUAAGCGACUCUCAACAAGAGCCACCUAAAAGCGAAGUCUCGGAAGGGCCCAUAGAGCCUUCUAAUUGGGACCAGAAUUCUCAAAGUAUGGAGACUCAAAUCGACAAAGCCCAAGCUGUUACUCAGCCUGUACCCCUUGCAAAUAAACCUGUACCUGCUCAAUCUACUUUUCCUUCAAAAACAGGGGGGAUGGAGGGUGGACCAGCAGUAACCACAUCAUCAUCAUUAACUGCAGAUAAUGAUUUUAAACCUAUGGGUAUUGGUCUGCCCCAUUCAGAAAACAAUCAAGAUAAAGGGCUACCUCGGCCAGAUAAUAGAGAUAAUAGAUUAGAAGGCAAUCGAGGCAGCAGCUCAUCUUAUAGAGGUCCUGGGCAAAGCAGAAUGGAAGACACACGGGAUAAAGGACUAGUAAACAGAGGUCGUGGCCAGGCAAUCAGCCGAGGCCCAGGGUUGAUCAAGCAAGAAGACUUUCGUGAUAAGAUGAUAGGUAGAAGAGAAGAUAGUCGAGAGAAGAUGAGCAGAGGAGAAGGUAGCCGGGACAGAGGGUUGGUGAGGCCUGGAAGCAGUCAGGAGAAAGUGCCAGGUGGUCUGCAAGGAAGCCAGGACAGAGGUAGAGCUGGCAGCCGAGAAAGGGGACCUCCUCGGAGAGCUGGCAGUCAGGAGAGAGGACCCCCUCGAAGGGCAGGGAGUAGGGAGCGAGUACCACCCCGAAGAGCUGGGAGCAGGGAGAGGGGACCACCUCGAGUGCCUGGCAGUCGGGAAAGGGGCCUGGGAAGAUCAGAUUUUGGUCGUGAUAGAGGUCCAUUCAGACCAGAACCAGGAGAUGGUGGGGAAAAAAUGUAUCCAUAUCACCGAGAUGAACCUCCUAGGACUCCAUGGAACCAUGGAGAAGAGAGAGGGCAUGAAGAGUUCCCAUUAGAUGGUAGAAGUGCUCCAAUGGAACGAGAAAGACUUGAUGAUUGGGAUAGAGAGAGAUACUGGAGAGAGUGUGAACGUGACUAUCAAGAUGAUACACUAGAUCCAUAUAACAGAGAGGACAGGUUCUCAGCACCACCACGGUCUCAUGAUGGAGAUAGGCGAGGCCCUUGGUGGGAUGAUUGGGACAGAGAUCAGGAUAUGGAUGAGGACUACAAUAGGGAAAUGGACAGGGAUUUGGACUGGGAUGUGGAUCGGAUUGGAAGACCCAUGGAUAUGUAUGAUAGAAUUUUGGAUAAUGAGUGGGACAGAGAUUAUGGGAGACCACUGGAUGAACAAGAAUCACAGUUUCGUGAACAGGAUAUUCCAUCUCUUCCACCUUUACCACCCCUCCCACCUCUUCCACCUCUGGAUAGAUAUCGGGAUGAUAGAUGGAGAGAAGAAAGAAAUCGAGACCAUGGGUAUGAUCGAGAUUUCCGUGAUAGGGGUGAGUUGAGGAUUCGAGAGUAUCCAGAAAGAGGAGAUACGUGGCGGGAAAAGCGAGAUUAUGUUCCUGACAGAAUGGACUGGGAAAGAGAACGGUUGUCAGACAGAUGGUACCCAUCUGAUGUGGAUAGACAUUCCCCCAUGGCGGAACAUAUGCCCUCCUCACAUCAUUCCUCUGAAAUGAUGGGGUCCGAUGCAAACUUAGACUCUGACCAAGGCCUUGGAGGGGUAAUGGUUCUCAGUCAGAGGCAGCACGAAAUCAUUUUGAAAGCUGCACAAGAACUGAAAAUGCUUCGGGAACAGAAAGAACAACUCCAAAAGAUGAAAGACUUUGGGUCUGAGCCACAGAUGGCUGACCAUCUACCACCCCAAGAAUCGAGGUUGCAGAAUACAUCUUCAAGACCUGGAAUGUAUCCGCCUCCAGGGUCCUAUAGACCACCCCCUCCUAUGGGUAAACCACCAGGUUCAAUUAUGAGACCCUCUGCUCCACUGCCAAGAUCAUCUGUUCCUAUGACCAGGCCACCUGUCCCAAUACCACCACCUCCACCUCCUCCUCCUCCACCUCCUCCUCCUCCGGUGAUAAAGCCACAAACUUCAGCUGUGGAACAGGAACGCUGGGAUGAAGAUUCUUUCUAUGGUCUCUGGGAUACAAAUGAUGAACAAGGACUGAAUUCAGAAUUUAAAUCAGAAACUGCAACAAUUCCAUCUGUUCCAGUAUUACCACCCCCACCUGUUCACUCUUCUAUUCCCCCUCCUGGCCCAUUGCCUAUGGGUAUGCCACCAAUGUCCAAACCACCACCAGUGCAGCAGACUGUUGAUUAUGGCCAUGGCCGAGAUAUAGCCACUAAUAAAGUUGAACAGAUACCAUAUGGAGAAAGAAUAACUCUCCGCCCAGACCCACUACCUGAAAGAUCAACUUUUGAGACAGAGCAUACAGGCCAACGCGAUCGCUAUGAUAGAGACCGAGACCGUGAGCCUUAUUUUGAUCGUCAAAGUAAUAUUAUAGCAGAUCAUCGAGAUUUUAAAAGGGAUCGUGAGACACACAGAGAUCGAGACCGGGAUCGUGGUGUUAUUGACUAUGACCGAGAUCGAUUUGACAGAGAACGCCGACCCCGAGAUGAUAGGGCUCAGUCAUAUAGAGACAAAAAAGAUCAUCCUCAUCCAGAAGAGGGGGUUUGAUAGGCCAUCUUAUGACCGGAAAUCUGACCGACCAGCCUACGAAGGGCCAUCCAUGUUUGGAGGAGAACGAAGAACUUAUCCAGAGGAACGUAUGCCCCUGCCAGCUCCUUCACUAAGCCACCAGCCCCCUCCAGCUCCACGGGUUGAGAAAAAGCCUGAAUCGAAAAAUGUAGAUGAUAUUUUGAAACCACCAGGCCGGGAGAGCAGACCUGAGAGAAUUGUUGUUAUAAUGAGAGGAUUGCCUGGCAGUGGGAAGACACACGUUGCAAAACUUAUUCGAGAUAAAGAGGUAGAAUUUGGAGGACCUGCACCCAGAGUUUUAAGUCUGGAUGAUUACUUCAUCACUGAAGUGGAAAAA